This 93-nucleotide transfer RNA is filed under the name bacterium. RNAcentral's name for it is "tRNA-Ser". It matches the Rfam family "tRNA". From Rfam's summary of the family: Transfer RNA (tRNA) molecules are approximately 80 nucleotides in length. Their secondary structure includes four short double-helical elements and three loops (D, anti-codon, and T loops). Further hydrogen bonds mediate the characteristic L-shaped molecular structure. tRNAs have two regions of fundamental functional importance: the anti-codon, which is responsible for specific mRNA codon recognition, and the 3' end, to which the tRNAs corresponding amino acid is attached (by aminoacyl-tRNA synthetases). tRNAs cope with the degeneracy of the genetic code in two manners: having more than one tRNA (with a specific anti-codon) for a particular amino acid; and 'wobble' base-pairing, i.e. permitting non-standard base-pairing at the 3rd anti-codon position. RNAcentral also lists the same sequence under 1 other name. The record is from RNAcentral.
GGAGGGGUGGCCGAGUGGUUGAAGGCGGUGGUCUUGAAAAUCACUGUUCCGCCCGAAGCGGAACCGGGGGUUCGAAUCCCUCCCCCUCCGCCA